GGAUUUCUUUCCCAACAAAAGGGCUUACAACCCGAAGGCCUUKUUCACCCACGCGGUAUGGCUGGAUCAGGCUUGCGCCCAUUGUCCAAUAUUCCCCACUGCUGCCUCCCGUAGGAGUCUGGACCGUGUCUCAGUUCCAGUGUGGCUGAUCAUCCUCUCAGACCAGCUACGGAUCGUCGCCUUGGUGGGCCUUUACCCCGCCAACUAGCUAAUCCGACAUCGGCUCAUUCAAUCGCGCAGGGUCCGAAGAUCCCCUGCUUUCACCCGUAGGUCGUAUGCGGUAUUAGCGUAAGUUUCCCUACGUUAUCCCCCACGACAGAGUAGAUUCCGAUGUAUUCCUCACCCGUCCGCCACUCGCCACCCAAGGAGCAAGCUCCUCUGUGCUGCCAUUCGACUUGCAUGUGUUAGGCCUACCGCCAGCGUUCACUCUGAGCCAUAAUCAAACUCU
RNAcentral lists this ribosomal RNA (448 nucleotides) under uncultured Stenotrophomonas sp. Its description in RNAcentral is "partial 16S ribosomal RNA". Lineage: Bacteria; Pseudomonadati; Pseudomonadota; Gammaproteobacteria; Lysobacterales; Lysobacteraceae. The record is from RNAcentral.